Molecule: ribosomal RNA, 774 nt
Filed under: uncultured Neocallimastigales
Lineage: Eukaryota; Fungi; Neocallimastigomycota; Neocallimastigomycetes; Neocallimastigales
Description: partial large subunit ribosomal RNA
Rfam family: Eukaryotic large subunit ribosomal RNA
Source: RNAcentral
GUACACGCUGUGACUAGCAUAUCAAUAAGCGGAGGAAAAGAAACUAACAAGGAUUCCCCUAGUAACGGCGAGUGAAGCGGGAAGAGCUCAAAUUUGAAAUCUUAAAGGUUUUCCCUUGACGAAUUGUAGUUUAAAGAAGUGUUUUCUGUUGAGGUUUUGGUAAAAGUUCUUUGGAAUAGGACAUCAUAGAGGGUGAGAAUCCCGUAUUUGACCUUUACUUUCAACUUUGUGAUACACUUUCAAAGAGUCGGAUUGUUUGGGAAUGCAGUCCAAAAUGGGUGGUAAAUUUCAUCUAAAGCUAAAUAUUGGCGAGAGACCGAUAGCGAACAAGUACCGUGAGGGAAAGAUGAAAAGAACUUUGAAAAGAGAGUUAAACAGUACGUGAAAUUGUCAAAAGGGAAGCGUUUGACACCAGUGUUGUUUUUCUGAAAAUCAAUUAAAGAACUGUUUAUGCUAAGCUGUUUAGACUUUAUCAGCUAUCUGUUUAGUUUUGAGCUUUUCUUUAAUGCACUUUUCAGUUAACAAAUCAACAUCAAUUUCUUUUGCUGUAAAAAAGCUUGAGGAAGGUGGCUUGAGAUUCGUCUUAAGUGUUUAUAGCCUCUUGCCUAUGCAGUCGGAGAGAUUGAGGUCUGCAGCGUAGAUCCUUCGGGGCUAAAUGCAUUUGUGCUAAGUUAUAGCAUUUUAUAGACAACUUGUUGACUAUGAUUUGUCUUGUAGCUUACUCGCUUAUGUUAUUUUACCUACGCUUAGGAUGUUGAACUACUGAGACAUAGA